Molecule: unclassified non-coding RNA, 349 nt
Filed under: Hevea brasiliensis (rubber tree)
Lineage: Eukaryota; Viridiplantae; Streptophyta; Magnoliopsida; Malpighiales; Euphorbiaceae
Source: RNAcentral
UAAAGACUUAGUUGAGUUGAGUUGGUAAUAAAAAUUUUUUAAAUGGAAAUUUAAAAAUAUAAAUUUCCAAAUUUGAAAAAUUCAUACCAACCUUUGGAAACCUAAAUUUCCUUUUAUUGUGAAGAGACACAUAUCAAGGGAAAACAUGCAUGUUUUCAUUCUUUAGCACUUUGUUGCUACAUUCAAAUACCAGUAACAACAUUCUUUUUUUUUUUAAAGUUACUCUCAUUUUCUUUCACAUAUAAAAGGUUCUUGCAUCAACUUUUGAAUGCAGGACUAGUUGGCUUCGAAUAAAUAAUUUUCCAUUUAGUUGCUGUGAUCAAAUCCUAGUAGAUUUUUUUUAAUAAAG